AUUUUGAAGAUCACAAAGUUUGAAAUUCAGCGGUGAAAAGAUGAAUGAACCCGCAACCAUCAUCAUCCGUGACAACCUUUGGCGUCCUACAACACAUGCAAUAUAAUUAGUUUUUCUUCUUGGUCAUACAUUUCAUCAUUUGCAUGAUUCAUCACAAUAUGUGUAUUAGUUACUCUUCUCAGGUCAUUCUCUCUUUCAAAACGAAACUAGAAGCAGUAGUUACCGAGAUCUGACCCUACUAUUCUGCCCAGCAGGUUCCAUUUGCGUGGAAGAGGCGGAAUAAGAGCCAAGAUCUUUUGCUCCUGAGGGUUGGUGAGCCUACCUGUAAGGGUAAGUUCAUUGUCUUUGAUUAGAGCUGAGUUGUCCAGGCGUGGAGCUUUAAUUCUCUUGAUACUCUUCCGGAUUCUUCUCUCAUCUGAUGCUUUUCUUUUUCAGCUUCUGCAAGUCUUCGAGCCAUGGGUUCAGCUGGAGGAGUUUCUUGUCGACUCCUAGCAAAACUAGAGGGACUCUGGAGACUGGAAAUCUUCCCUAGAGGGAAUUCUUGCAAGCUAGAAUGAUAAGGCGCGAGAUGAUAGACAUAAUUCGAAACUUAUUGCAACUUGACCAGGCUUGAGAUUGGAUCCAGAGAUUGAGAAAACUCUUGCGGAGGUGAAGAAAUUUUCCUGGAGGACGCUUCUUUUAGUAAAAGACUAGGACUUUCACUUGGUUGCUUGUUAGCGUCCAAUGGAAGAAGAGAGUAGCCGCUUUCCAAGCAAGAACCGCU
This 763-nucleotide long non-coding RNA is filed under the name Brassica rapa (field mustard). RNAcentral describes it as "long non-coding RNA (BRAP_LNC006001)". The record is from RNAcentral. Lineage: Eukaryota; Viridiplantae; Streptophyta; Magnoliopsida; Brassicales; Brassicaceae.